ACUACAGGCCAUACCACCCUGUCUUGCUUGAUCUCAUCUGAUCUUGGAAGCUAAACAGGGUCGGGCCUGGUUAGUACUUGGAUGGGAGACAGCCUGGGAAUACCAGGUGCUGUAAGCU
RNAcentral lists this ribosomal RNA (118 nucleotides) under Sinocyclocheilus rhinocerous. The record is from RNAcentral. Lineage: Eukaryota; Metazoa; Chordata; Actinopteri; Cypriniformes; Cyprinidae.